RNAcentral lists this transfer RNA (85 nucleotides) under Thermoleophilia bacterium. Its description in RNAcentral is "tRNA-Leu". It matches the Rfam family "tRNA". Rfam says of the family: Transfer RNA (tRNA) molecules are approximately 80 nucleotides in length. Their secondary structure includes four short double-helical elements and three loops (D, anti-codon, and T loops). Lineage: Bacteria; Bacillati; Actinomycetota; Thermoleophilia. The record is from RNAcentral. RNAcentral also lists the same sequence under 3 other names.
GCGGCUGUGGCGGAAUUGGUAGACGCGCAAGGUUGAGGGCCUUGUGACCCCUAGGGUCGUGGAGGUUCAAGUCCUCUCAGCCGCA